ACAUACGUUAAAGGGCCGCGGUAUUUUGACCGUGCGAAGGUAGCAUAAUCAUUAGUCUUUUAAUUGGAGGCUUGUAUGAAUGGUUGGACAAAAAAUAAGCUGUCUCUGUUUUAUUUCUUGAAUUUAACUUUUAAGUGAAAAGGCUUAAAUGUUCUAGGGGGACGAUAAGACCCUAUAAAGCUUUACAGUGUGUUAAUUAAAUUAUAAAUUGUUAGUAUAAACUUGGUUUGGUUAGUAGCUGUUUCGUUGGGGCGACGAAAAUAUAAUUGAUAGUAACUGUUUUUCUUUUAUAAUAACAAUAAAUUUUUGGUAGAAAUUGAUCCUUUAUUAAAGAUUAAAAGAUUAAGUUACUUUAGGGAUAACAGCGUAAUCUUCUUUGAGAGUUCAUAUCGACAAGAAGGGUUGCGACCUCGAUGUUGAAUUAAGGUUUCC
This 432-nucleotide ribosomal RNA is filed under the name Metapenaeus monoceros. RNAcentral's name for it is "partial large subunit ribosomal RNA". It matches the Rfam family "Bacterial large subunit ribosomal RNA", at positions 1916 to 2547 of the family's 2925-position model. Lineage: Eukaryota; Metazoa; Arthropoda; Malacostraca; Decapoda; Penaeidae. The record is from RNAcentral.